GCCCGGUUAGUUCAGUCGGUAGAGCAUCAGACUUUUAAUCUGAGGGUCAAGGGUUCAAGUCCCUUAUUGGGCG
RNAcentral lists this transfer RNA (73 nucleotides) under Anneissia japonica. RNAcentral describes it as "tRNA-Lys". It matches the Rfam family "tRNA". From Rfam's summary of the family: Transfer RNA (tRNA) molecules are approximately 80 nucleotides in length. Their secondary structure includes four short double-helical elements and three loops (D, anti-codon, and T loops). The record is from RNAcentral. Lineage: Eukaryota; Metazoa; Echinodermata; Crinoidea; Comatulida; Comatulidae.